GACGAACGCUGGCGGCGUGCUUAAUACAUGCAAGUCGAACGAAAAGGUCCUGCUUUUGCUGGGUGCACGAGUGGCGAACGGGUGUGUGACACGUGUGUAUCCUGCCCUUGACUUUGGGAUAUCUUCAGGAAACUGCGGCUAUUAUCGGAUAGGAUCUACUGCUGCACGGUGGUGGUUGGAAAGUGCCGGCGGUUGGGGCUGGUAUCGCGGCUUAUCCGCUAGUUAGUCGAGUAGGGGCUUACCAAGGUUUUGAAGGGUAGCCGGCAUGGGAGCGUGGACGGCCACAUGGGGACUGCGAUACGGCGCAGACGGCUACGGGACGCAGCAGGGGAGAGCAUUGCGCAAUGGGCGGAAGCCUGAGACAGCAGCGCCGCGUGCGGGAUGACGGCCUUCGGGUUAAAAACCGCUUUCGACUGUGAUGAAGCGUGAGUGACGGUAAUGGGUAAAGAAGCACCGGCUAACUACGUG
Molecule: ribosomal RNA, 468 nt
Filed under: uncultured bacterium
Lineage: Bacteria
Description: partial 16S ribosomal RNA
Rfam family: Bacterial small subunit ribosomal RNA
Source: RNAcentral